This 74-nucleotide transfer RNA is filed under the name compost metagenome. Its description in RNAcentral is "tRNA-Trp". It matches the Rfam family "tRNA". From Rfam's summary of the family: Transfer RNA (tRNA) molecules are approximately 80 nucleotides in length. Their secondary structure includes four short double-helical elements and three loops (D, anti-codon, and T loops). The record is from RNAcentral.
GCGUCCAUGGUGUAAUGGUAGCAUUCGGGUCUCCAAAACCUUCGGUCUCGGUUCAAAUCCGGGUGGACGUGCCA